This 71-nucleotide transfer RNA is filed under the name Penaeus japonicus. Its description in RNAcentral is "tRNA-Gly". It matches the Rfam family "tRNA". Rfam says of the family: Transfer RNA (tRNA) molecules are approximately 80 nucleotides in length. Their secondary structure includes four short double-helical elements and three loops (D, anti-codon, and T loops). The record is from RNAcentral. Lineage: Eukaryota; Metazoa; Arthropoda; Malacostraca; Decapoda; Penaeidae.
GCAUCGGUGGUUGAGUGGUAGAAUUCUCGCCUGCCACGCGGGAGGCCCGGGUUCGAGUCCCGGCUGAUGCA